RNAcentral lists this ribosomal RNA (373 nucleotides) under uncultured bacterium. RNAcentral's name for it is "bacterial SSU rRNA". It matches the Rfam family "Bacterial small subunit ribosomal RNA", at positions 521 to 896 of the family's 1533-position model. The record is from RNAcentral.
UAAUACGAAGGACCCGAGCGUUAUCCGGAUUUAUUGGGUUUAAAGGGUGCGUAGGCGGAUUUAUAAGUCAGUGGUGAAAGCCUAUAGCUUAACUAUAGAAUUGCCAUUGAUACUGUAGGUCUUGAGUACAGUUGAGGUGGGCGGAAUGUGCAGUGUAGCGGUGAAAUGCUUAGAUAUUGCACAGAACACCAAUUGCGAAGGCAGCUCGCUAAGCUGUAACUGACGCUGAGGCACGAAAGUGUGGGUAGCAAACAGGAUUAGAUACCCUGGUAGUCCACACCCUAAACGAUGAUAACUCGCUGUUGGCGAUACACAGUCAGCGGCUAAGCGAAAGCAUUAAGUUAUCCACCUGGGAAGUACGACCGCAAGGUUG